RNAcentral lists this ribosomal RNA (255 nucleotides) under uncultured bacterium. Its description in RNAcentral is "partial 16S ribosomal RNA". It matches the Rfam family "Bacterial small subunit ribosomal RNA", at positions 524 to 775 of the family's 1533-position model. The record is from RNAcentral.
UACGUAGGGUGCGAGCGUUUGUCCGGAAUUAUUGGGCGUAAAGGGCUCGUAGGCGGUCUGUCACGUCGGGAGUGAAAACACGGGGCUUAACCCCGUGCCUGCUUCCGAUACGGGCAGACUAGAGUGCGGUAGGGGAGAUUGGAAUUCCUGGUGUAGCGGUGGAAUGCGCAGAUAUCAGGAGGAACACCGAUGGCGAAAGGCAGAUCUCUGGGCCGUAACUGACGCUGAGGAGCGAAAGCAUGGGGGAGCGAACGG